AUACCAAUACGAGCGAGACAAGCAAACACCGUUUUCAUAAUCAAUAAACAAUGAAAUUUAAGAUGAUCAUACUCAACAACAUAUCUUCAAGAAAUAGAAAAUUAAUCCCUCAGUCAAACCUGCAGAAUUCAGACUUCUUUGUCCUAAUCUUUACGAAAGCGGAAGGACUUAAUUUUUUUCUUACAAAAAGACUUAAAACCACCUAUAUAUAUGCAGGGGUUCUUCAGAGUAUCUCCAACAACUAAUACAGGUUGUCUGAUACUACUUACUACUCUGUUAGAAUGGCAACAAACACUGUGAAUAGUCUCAUGGUCACAUUCAUGAUCAUCAUGUUCGUCUUGUCUCUUGCAUCCAUGCCAUCCUAUGCUGCUCGAUUCACUUUCCUAGAAUCUGAUUUUAAGGGGGGGAUGUGCGGUCCGUGUGCUUGUUGCAAACCUAAUAACCCCCCUUGCUGCAUCUGUGCCUGCCCGUAUCUGCCCUGAAAUGAAGCGCUCGUUUCGUUUUCAAAGCAAAGUGGAUCAAAUAACUGAUGGAGCUUUUGUGUAUUUAGCAGUGUUUGAUGAAUGAAUAGUAUACAAUGUACGGUACAAUAAAUGUUUAAGACAUUUCUGGUUAUGGACAGAUGAAUAUUGUAUGUA
Non-coding RNA from Sesamum indicum (sesame), 638 nucleotides. NCBI's taxonomy places the organism in Eukaryota, Viridiplantae, Streptophyta, Magnoliopsida, Lamiales, Pedaliaceae. The record is from RefSeq and is a predicted model, not a curated record.